CUGUUUUGUAGACAGACUUAUUGGUGUCCACUGUACCCAUGGUUUGAACAGGACUGGCUACCUCAUCUGCAGAUACUUGAUUGAUGUAGAAGGCAUGAGGCCAGAUGAUGCAAUUGAAUUAUUCAAUAGGUGCCGAGGACAUUGCUUAGAAAGACAAAACUACAUUGAAGACCUUCGAAAUGGUCCCAUGAGAAAGAAUCAAGAUUCCAGUAUAUCCAGAUCAAGUGGUUUUGAAGACUCAGCACAUAUGAUGGGACCAGUCCACACCACUUACAGGUCUGUUAACCAAGGACCUACGAAUAACCUCCACUGGACCCAAGGUUACCCACCACCUUCUCGGCAUUUCUACACCAAGACCCAGGAUUUUCAGCAGUCAGUAAGAUUUUCACAGAAUCAGAACAUUUACCAGAGAGGCCAUAUUCCUCCUCCUGGUCCCCCUGGAGAGAAGUAUUUUCAAAGGCGGUACUCUUGGAACGUAAAGCCAAAUGCCAGUCCAGCAGCCCAGAACAGAAGGUUACGGUAUCCUGGCAGUUACUGCAGACUACCCUACCCGGCCUACUGUGGAUGGACGGAGUGACACAGACCUACCCUGGAGAUCUGUCUGGAGACACAGGACUGAAGACAGCUGGAGGGACUUUUUAUAAGAUCAGGUCAAACGAGGUUUAUAAUCUAUUUUAUUGCUCCCUUAGGCAUUCAUGCUUAAGGGAAAAUUGUGAUACGCACCUCUUUGCUGGUAACUUUGCAGUAUUUACAACAGUGAAGAAAAUAAUCUGUCGUUCCAAUUUUAAAUUUUUUUAAAGGAAGAUGACAUUUUAGAAUUAAUAAAAGUAAUAAAGAACUUCCCUCAUAAAUUAUUUUUUAAAA
Molecule: long non-coding RNA, 864 nt
Organism: Camelus dromedarius (Arabian camel)
Lineage: Eukaryota; Metazoa; Chordata; Mammalia; Artiodactyla; Camelidae
Exons: 5
Source: RefSeq, a predicted model, not a curated record